RNAcentral lists this transfer RNA (71 nucleotides) under Anaerolineales bacterium. RNAcentral's name for it is "tRNA-Gln". It matches the Rfam family "tRNA". Rfam says of the family: Transfer RNA (tRNA) molecules are approximately 80 nucleotides in length. Their secondary structure includes four short double-helical elements and three loops (D, anti-codon, and T loops). Lineage: Bacteria; Bacillati; Chloroflexota; Anaerolineae; Anaerolineales. The record is from RNAcentral. RNAcentral also lists the same sequence under 1 other name.
UGGGGCGUGGUGUAAUGGUAGCACAGCGGACUUUGGAUCCGUUGAUCCAGGUUCGAAUCCUGGCGCCCCAG